GGGGUUGUAGCUCAGUGGUUGAGCAUUUGCCUAACAAGCAUGAGGCCCUGGGCUCAAUCUCU
RNAcentral lists this transfer RNA (62 nucleotides) under Marmota marmota marmota (Alpine marmot). It matches the Rfam family "tRNA". Rfam says of the family: Transfer RNA (tRNA) molecules are approximately 80 nucleotides in length. Their secondary structure includes four short double-helical elements and three loops (D, anti-codon, and T loops). RNAcentral also lists the same sequence under 3 other names. Lineage: Eukaryota; Metazoa; Chordata; Mammalia; Rodentia; Sciuridae. The record is from Rfam by way of RNAcentral.